Non-coding RNA from Prionailurus viverrinus (fishing cat), 74 nucleotides. The record is from the annotation of a RefSeq genome assembly. NCBI's taxonomy places the organism in Eukaryota, Metazoa, Chordata, Mammalia, Carnivora, Felidae.
GCCUGGGUGGCUCAGUCGGUCGAGCGUGGGACUUUGGAUCUCAUGGUCCGUGGGUUCAAGCCCCACAUCAGGCU